Homo sapiens (human) is the source of this 1169-nucleotide long non-coding RNA. Ensembl annotates it as ZBED3 antisense RNA 1. Its record names the gene ZBED3-AS1. Lineage: Eukaryota; Metazoa; Chordata; Mammalia; Primates; Hominidae. The record is from Ensembl.
GUGCUCUUUUAGCCUUACCAUCAGCUGACGGCUUAAGUGUUAACCAGCUCAAUAGACCCUCUGCCUUUUUGCAAGCGCAGAGGGUCAGUGUGACAGUUUCUGUAUCUCAGCUCUUGUCUCACCUCCCAGAAGAAUCAGGUCACACAUGGACUUGAAGGAUGAACACCAGAGACUGGGUAAUUAAUAAAAAGAAGAAAUUGAUCUGGCCUACAGUUCUGGAGCCUUGGAAGUCCGAGAUCAAGGAGCUGCAUCUGGGUUCUAGGAUGCCUCAUAAAGGCCCGUAGUGUACUUUCUGUCUACUUCACUUAGCUCCGCAUUUGCAAUUUCUGUUAACAUGCAUACAGUUGAAUGGAUGGCCAGGAUCAAAGCUAUCUGCUGUGAGACACAAUGAGAAAUGCUUUUGUGUAAAGGAAAACACAGAUCCUGGUGCCGAACAUGAGGACAGGGCAGGCCGAAGGAGAAAGUGGAAGGAGGGGAGCUUCUCUCUCAGCCUCAUCCUUCUGGGCCUGGAUGCUGGAGAGUCAUGAGGUGCUUCAGAGUACUCUGGGUGAGGAGGGAAAGAUGGUGCCCACCACAUGGAGGCCAGCCUAGGUCUUGUAUGAAACCUGUGAGGCCAGCAGGAGCCAGGCCGUGGCCUGCUGACUGCAUCUGCCAGAUGACUACCAAUGUGUGAGUAAACCCAUUCUCAAGCCCAAGAGAACCUCUCAGCUGAACCAGGCCCAAGUUGCUCACCCACUGAACUGCCAGUUAAAUAAAUGGUGGUUGUUUUAAUCCACUAAAUGCUGGGAUGGUUUGUUAUACAGCAGUAGGUAUCAAUACAGUGUACUUGUCAAUCUAGGAAUUCCUGUCUUGUCAAAUCUGAGAAAAUUCUCGGUCACUGUCACUUCAAAUAUUACUUCUUUCCCAUUUUCUAUUCACUCAUUCCAAAACUCCUAGUGGAUGUCUUUUCUGUCAUUUCUGGUUCUGUCUUUUGUGAUCUUAAACUUUCAUUCAUUGUUUUUCCAUUUUUACUUCCGUGUUACAUUUUGAGUCAUUUCCUUAGUUCCAGUUUGCUUAUUUUCUAUUCAACCAUUAAAUAUUUCUAUUUAGUUUUAAGUUUCAGUGGCUAUAAGUUUCAUUUAUAAAAGAACUAUUUGGUUAUUUUCUAAAUCUGCAUUUUGUUUUCACAU